This 258-nucleotide ribosomal RNA is filed under the name uncultured bacterium. RNAcentral's name for it is "partial 16S ribosomal RNA". It matches the Rfam family "Bacterial small subunit ribosomal RNA", at positions 524 to 776 of the family's 1533-position model. The record is from RNAcentral.
UACGUAGGGUGCAAGCGUUGUCCGGAAUUAUUGGGCGUAAAGAGCUUGUAGGCGGUUUUGUCGCGUCUGCUGUUGGAAAUUUCCGGGGCUCAACCCCGAACUUGCAGUGGGUACGGGCAGACUAGGAGUGUGGUAGGGGAGACUGGAAUUCCUGGUGUAGCGGUGAAAUGCGCAGAUAUCAGGAGGAACACCGAUGGCGAAGGCAGGUCUCUGGGCCGUAACUGACGCUGAGGAGCGAAAGCGUGGGGAGCGAACAGG